Molecule: ribosomal RNA, 253 nt
Filed under: uncultured bacterium
Lineage: Bacteria
Description: partial 16S ribosomal RNA
Rfam family: Bacterial small subunit ribosomal RNA
Source: RNAcentral
UACAGAGGGGGCAAGCGUUGUUCGGAAUUACUGGGCGUAAAGGGCGCGUAGGUGGCCUUCUAAGUUGAACGUGAAAUCCCUGGGCUCAACCCAGGAACUGCGUCCAAGACUGGGAGGCUUGAAUCCGGGAGAGGGAUGCGGAAUUCCAGGUGUAGCGGUGAAAUGCGUAGAUAUCUGGAGGAACACCGGUGGCGAAGGCGGCAUCCUGGACCGACACUGACGCUGAGGAGCGAAAGCCAGGGGAGCAAACGGG